CCUGGGUAUUAAAUAUCAGAAGUUCAAUUCAUAUAUACAAUUCAUUGCAAGGACUUCAAAUUAGUAGAAAAUUUGAGAAUGAUGAGAGAUUCCUAAAUGUGAGAGAUAAAAGUCAAAUUUCAAUUCGGAGUUUAGGAGUUGUUGAGCUUGUUUUCAAAUCUAAUUGAGUCAUUUUAAGUGAUUAUCACUAUUGUCCAUCUUUCUUGAUGAAUAUAGUCUUUGUUGAUCUUUUAACCAAAGAUGGUUAUAGUUUAUCAAUAAAGAAUGAUUAUUAUGA
Molecule: long non-coding RNA, 277 nt
Filed under: Elaeis guineensis (African oil palm)
Lineage: Eukaryota; Viridiplantae; Streptophyta; Magnoliopsida; Arecales; Arecaceae
Description: long non-coding RNA (EGUI_LNC034021)
Source: RNAcentral